RNAcentral lists this ribosomal RNA (497 nucleotides) under uncultured bacterium. RNAcentral describes it as "partial 16S ribosomal RNA". It matches the Rfam family "Bacterial small subunit ribosomal RNA", at positions 28 to 507 of the family's 1533-position model. The record is from RNAcentral.
GAUGAACGCUGGCGGCGUGCCUAAUACAUGCAAGUCGAGCGAACAGACGAGGAGCUUGCUCCUCUGGCGUUAGCGGCGGACGGGUGAGUAACACGUGGAUAACCUACCUAUAAGACUGGGAUAACUUCGGGAAACCGGAGCUAAUACCGGAUAAUAUAUUAAACCGCAUGGUUCAAUAGUGAAAGACGGUUUUGCUGUCACUUAUAGAUGGAUCCGCGCCGCAUUAGCUAGUUGGUAAGGUAACGGCUUACCAAGGCAACGAUGCGUAGCCGACCUGAGAGGGUGAUCGGCCACACUGGAACUGAGACACGGUCCAGACUCCUACGGGAGGCAGCAGUAGGGAAUCUUCCGCAAUGGGCGAAAGCCUGACGGAGCAACGCCGCGUGAGUGAUGAAGGUCUUCGGAUCGUAAAACUCUGUUAUUAGGGAAGAACAAAUGUGUAAGUAACUAUGCACGUCUUGACGGUACCUAAUCAGAAAGCCACGGCUAACUACGUG